Molecule: long non-coding RNA, 875 nt
Organism: Rhododendron vialii
Lineage: Eukaryota; Viridiplantae; Streptophyta; Magnoliopsida; Ericales; Ericaceae
Exons: 3
Source: RefSeq, a predicted model, not a curated record
UACUGUUUAGGAUUCGCUGAGGAAAAUGAUGAACAAGUUUCCCAUCAAUGGCUCAGCAAAUCCGUGUACCAAAAUCUACUUUGUUCGUUUUGUUUCCAUCAGUUGGGGGAUGCUCUGUUUGGAUCCUCUUGUUUUGGUGCAUGCCACGUGUAUUGGCUUGGCUAGCUCACAAGCCUUCUCACUGUUUCUACAGUACCCCUCAUAAGUCAUUACUGUUUUAAACACCUACAACCCAUGACUUCAAUGUAAAUGCACAGAGAGAGAGAGAGAGAGAGGUGAAGUUCCUGGAGAGAACUAGGAAACCACAAGGAAGUAGUAGACAUGGAAGGUGGCAGCAGCUCAUUCAAUUCAGCCAAACAGAGAUCAAAGCUGGAAAUGCUGCAGAAAGAGCAUGAGGAGAAAAUGCGGAGAAUUCAAGAGCUCAAGAAACAAAUGGCUGAAACCAAGAUUCAUCUGGAGGAAAAGAAAAAUGAAGUUCCAGAGGGGAAAAGGGAGGCUUUUAGGAUGUUAACUGAGAAAUACAACAACUUGAGGGAUGAGUACAAUAACAAAUGCAAUAACAAGUACUAGUUUUAAGGCCAGCUAGUUUUUUUUUGUUUUUGUUUGUAUAUAUAACCGGAUGUUCGGGCCAGCUUGCGCGCACCUCGAUUAAUUCCGAAAACCUGAAGAUAAUGACCAGGCAUAACCUCCAGUGACCCCAAGGUUUGGAAUGGUUAGCCUUUGUAAACAUGCGACCACCUCCUGGUCAAACAUUUAUUGCUUUCUCGAUAAAUAAAUUUUAGGGUUUUCCUUUCCAGUUUUAUUGGUUUAAGAAAAGUACCCCUACAGGAUUGGUUCAAUGACAUGGUCAUUCCAGUACCUUAAAUUUCACAAUA